This 176-nucleotide ribosomal RNA is filed under the name uncultured bacterium. Its description in RNAcentral is "partial 16S ribosomal RNA". It matches the Rfam family "Bacterial small subunit ribosomal RNA", at positions 361 to 560 of the family's 1533-position model. The record is from RNAcentral.
AUCUUGCGCAAUGGGCGAAAAGCUGACGCAGCCAUGCCGCGUGGAUGAUGAAGGUCUUAGGAUUGUAAAAUCUCUUUCACCGGGGACGAUAAUGACGGUACCCGGAGAAUAAGCCCCGGCUAACUUCGUGCCAGCAGCCGCGGUAAUACACUAGCGUUGCUCGGAAUUACUGGGCG